This 253-nucleotide ribosomal RNA is filed under the name uncultured bacterium. Its description in RNAcentral is "partial 16S ribosomal RNA". It matches the Rfam family "Bacterial small subunit ribosomal RNA", at positions 524 to 776 of the family's 1533-position model. The record is from RNAcentral.
UACGGAGGGCGCGAGCGUUAAUCGGAAUUACUGGGCGUAAAGCGCGCGUAGGCUGUUGUGUAAGUUGGGGGUGAAAUCCCACGGCUCAACCGUGGAACAGCCCUUGAUACUGCGCGACUUGAAUCCGGGAGAGGGUGGCGGAAUUCCAGGUGUAGGAGUGAAGUCCGUAGAUAUCUGGAGGAACAUCAGUGGCGAAGGCGGCCACCUGGACCGGUAUUGACGCUGAGGCACGAAAGCGUGGGUAGCAAACAGG